Molecule: transfer RNA, 70 nt
Filed under: Camelus bactrianus (Bactrian camel)
Lineage: Eukaryota; Metazoa; Chordata; Mammalia; Artiodactyla; Camelidae
Also listed under: 2 other names
Rfam family: tRNA
About the family: Transfer RNA (tRNA) molecules are approximately 80 nucleotides in length.
Source: Rfam by way of RNAcentral
GGGUAUAGCUCAGUGGUAGAGGACAUGCUUAACGUACAUGAGGUCCUGGGUUCAAUCCCCAGUACCUCCA